AUGGAUGUUCUAUAUAUUGAACCAAAUAGGUUUAAUUACAACAUCUUUUUCUUGUCCUAACACUCAAGUCUAAUACAAUAAUUAGUCAUUUUUCUUUCUAACUACUACAUUUUCAGUGUAUGAUGUCCCAAGUGUUUGGCUCUUAAAACGCCUUCUUGAACCAAUCCUAACAUAAGUCUUCAGCUGUGAUUGGUUGUUGGACAUUCCACCCGGUGCAUUUGGCGACAUUGCAUCUUGAGCCAAGCAAAUGGAGUCUUCGAAAUGAGUUCCCGUUGCUCCUCUGUCAACCGUUCGUUGAGAGUGCAAACAUACAUAGUUGAAAAUGAAUGACGCACGGUCAACUGCCCAAAAGAAAAUAACUCAAAUGAAAACACCAAAACAAAUAACAAAAACCCAUAACGUGUGCAAGAAACGACAAGGAUCCCAAUACCCAAACCUAAAACCCAAUACCAAAACCUACAACGGGAGAAGGCAUUUACCUUGGUCCAACGAAGGUCCAUUCUGGAACUUGCCAUUUCAGCAAAACUGAGACAACAGGAUAUGUAACAAGAAGGCACUGGAGAGCACGAAAACGCCGGUAGAACCGCAGACCGCAAGGAAGAGGACGAAGGCAAAGGAGAAAAUGUGAGAGAGAACGAAAUCUAUCACACAAAACUAAUGAAACAGGCCAAGGGUAGAAUUGGAACCCAAAUUGUCUGAAACCCUUUUCAUUUUGCAGGCCAAAAUUAAAAAAAAAAAAAACAAUACAAACUACCCAAUUGAACGUUAACACUUGACAGUGUCAAAUAUAUGUCAAAAAUUAGGUGUCAAAAUAACGGAACCCUAUUUAAAAAGACAUGCAUUGUGAUUCAGCAGCACAGUCGAAAUGGUCUACAUUGUGUUUUACUUAUACGACCAAAACAAACAUGUAUAGAUAGAUAAGCAUUAUGGGUACUACGAGCAUCGACGUUAACAUCAUUAAUUAAUCUAAUAAAACAUUUCCACAAUGUCAUAUCUCCAUUCCAUAAUUUCUUGCCAAAGACAUUAUGUUAAAAUGAAGAGUUCUGCCGUGUUUUGUUCGGAUUUUUUUUUUCUUUAAACAACCUUUUCUUGUGCUUCAUACAACGAAAUAAAUUUUAUGAUCGUGCUGUCCAUAGUAUUUUCCUAGGUUUUAAAGUUAUCACUUUUUAAAUCUCAAAAACUAUUGUAUUAAUAUAUCUCGUAAUGUGGUUUUUUAUGAACACAUAUUUUCUUAGCAUUCAGAAAACUGAUAACUGUUUAUCUCUUCCUGUGCCAACCCGUUAUAAUCAUAACUUUGAUGAUUUUUUCACAUCUUUAACUAUUUCUCAUUCUUUCACUUUACAUGGUAAUUCUACUACUAACACCAAUAUCCUCUUUGCUACUACUGUUUCCACCAAUUUUAAUCAAACUGAUGUUCCUGUUAAUGACAUUUCUGAUGAUUUAAGACGUUGUUCUCGACCACGUAAAACACCUAUCUACUUGAAAGACUUCCCAACUAACAAUAUUGUUCCUUAUCCAUUACAAACUAUUUAAGUUAUACUCAUCUUUCUCAUCAUUUAAGUUUAAGAUUUACUGUUUCUUUCUACUACUUUUAAUAUUUUUCUUGGCCCAUUUGUGAUGAGAACCUCUUCUUAGCUUUGGGCCUUGUUAUUAGCCCCAAAAGGAUUGUUCACAAACUUUCAAAAAUAGAAUAAAAUUUCAAAUGUUUGGAAGGAUAAAGAAAAGGGAAAACCUGGUUUUCUUGAGUUGUUGAGUGCAGAUGGACUGUUGUAUUACUUUCCAAUAACACGAAAUUAGGAGUUAAGGGUUGGUUUUAAUGUCUUCUGUAAUUAAUAGUCUUUGUUGAAUAGGUCAUCGUGGAUGAAACUAGGCACCCUCUGACUUUGUGCUACAAAAUCAAAAUCUUUAAUUGAUCAAUUCAACAGCAGGGUGAGAAAUAUGCACAGAUGUUGAUGACCAACCGCAUGAAAAUCUUUGGAAUCUUAUUUUUAAUAGAAAAAAAAGGGUCAAACCAAAUUUAACUUCAUUAAAACAUGAUGACAAGUUUUCUCACGGGAAGGGGAAAAAAGUGGUCCUUAUAAGGCUCUUGGCAGAGGUUUUCAGUUGCAGCCAUGGCUUUCCAUUGUUAUGACAUGUUGGUGCUUGUGGUUUUUCUAGUGAACAUUAGCUUUUAUGGAAGGGUAGAUGGUCAGAAAAACGCUUUAGGAGCCUCUUUCAUCUUUGGAGAUUCAUUGGUUGAUGCUGGAAACAAUAACUAUUUGUCAACUCUUUCUAAGGCAAACAUCCCUCCCAACGGAAUUGAUUUCAAGGCCUCUGGGGGAAACCCCACCGGCCGCUACACCAACGGAAGAACCAUUGGUGAUAUAGUUGGUAAUUUUGCCUUCUUUCUCACCUACCAACUAACAUUUUCAAUUUUGAAUAAUAUUGAAAAAACCUGUUAAUAUUUUAAUAUUUUUCAGGAGAGGAAUUGGGACAACCAAAUUAUGCUGUACCAUUUUUAGCACCAAAUGCAACAGGGAAAACCAUACUGAGUGGAGUGAACUAUGCUUCGGGAGGGGGAGGGAUAAUGAAUGCCACUGGAAGGAUAUUUGUCAGUAUUUAUUUAUUUUUCUGUCUACAUAGUCUCAAUCAUUCUGUGUAAUAAGGAAUAAUUUAAUUUUCAGGUGAAUAGAAUAGGAAUGGAUGUUCAAAUAGAUUACUUCAGCAUAACAAGAAAAGAAAUUGACAAACUGCUGGGUGAAUCAAAAGCGAAAGAGUACAUAAGGAAGAAAUCCAUUUUCUCUAUCACAGUUGGGGCCAAUGAUUUUCUCAACAAUUACCUUCUCCCAGUUCUCUCCAUCGGAGCCAGAAUUUCUCAAAGUCCAGAUUCUUUCAUAGAUGACAUGAUUACUCAUUUCAGGGCCCAACUCACGGUAACAAGACGAAAUGCAAAAUCGAGAUUGAUAAGAAAAUUAAUUGUAAAUUGAAUUGAAUUGAAUUGAAUUGAAUGGCAGAGACUGUACAAAAUGGACGCUCGAAAGUUCGUGAUAGGAAACGUUGGGCCAAUAGGAUGCAUACCUUACCAGAAGACCAUAAAUCAGCUUAACGAAGAUGAGUGUGUGGAUUUGGCCAACAAACUGGCGCUUCAAUACAAUGCUCGAUUGAAGGAUUUGGUUGCGGAGCUAAACGACAACUUACCCG
RNAcentral lists this long non-coding RNA (3180 nucleotides) under Vigna radiata. RNAcentral describes it as "long non-coding RNA (VRAD_LNC006988)". The record is from RNAcentral. Lineage: Eukaryota; Viridiplantae; Streptophyta; Magnoliopsida; Fabales; Fabaceae.